GGGGGUGCGCGCGGUAACGUGGGUAAAUACGGUGGGGCGGUGGGGAGCUCCAGCCCCGCCCGCAACGGCAGCGGCGCGAGAGGAGCCCGCAGGCGGCCGUUGGGCAGCGGGAGGAGCCGCUAAGCGUAGGCUGUGAGGGGCGGGGGGACGCGGAGCGGCGGUAUUCGGCAGCCUGGUUUGACACGAGGAGGUUCUCGCCUCUCCUUUGGAGAAGAGGGCUGGCUGGCUGGCUGACUGAGAUCCCCCGAACUGCGGGAGGCUGGCGGCCGGCAGCCGCCUUCACACCGAAGCCAGACUCUGGCCCCGAAGCACCUAUUGCCUCACCCGGCCCUUUAGCAGCGGAGCGCCUCUUAACCUUUCAACUCUCCCUGCCAGCCGCAAGCGUUGCAGUAAGCGUUCUCCGGAGAGAACACCGCGAAACUGCCCAGGCAGCACACGUUGUAAAUGCUAGUGCCUGGAGGAGCCAGUCAGGACUACGGACUUGUUGCUGUGGACAUUGGUUCCAGAUUCAUGCCUGGAUAGACUGAUGGAGCACGUGUCACAUGGCUGAAUCAUUGACACUGCCAAUGCUUUGUAGACUGAGUCAUGCUGAUUGUCAGCAAGGGGAACGAGGAAGAGACUGAGAGUGAUCCUACUCCUGAGAGCUUUUGGCUGAAAAAAGAAAAAAUGUGUAUAUAUCGAAGGAACAGAAAGAGUACCAGUGCUGCUGAUGAUAUCAGUGCUGCUGAUGACAUCAGUGCUGCUCACCAUCUGUGGAAAACUGCAUAGUCUAAAUAUCUACUGACAAUUUAAGGUGCUUCAGAAUACUGAGCUUCCAAUGCACUGACCCGGCUUGUGGUGUCACCUCACAGUAGCAUUAGGAAUUGAUGGUCAAGGCAGGCACACCUGGCUGCCUGGACUUGAGAAACUCUUCGUGGGCAAUUACAUCUGCCACCAAGGAGCCAUACUGGCAUGCUUCGAAGUACUGACGUGUUUUGGAGCGAACAGCCUAGAAUUACACAGACCAGAAUGAGUUAAUAAACUGAAUAUUAUGUUACUAGAUUACUAAAAUUAUUAAUGCGUGUAUGUUGUUCUCUGCAAAUGAAAAGCUUCUCCUAAGUGCUAAGAAUUUAUUCUGGGUGUAUUUUUAAUAUAAUAAAAUCCUAGUCCUGUUUUACUCUA
Long non-coding RNA from Cygnus atratus (black swan), 1161 nucleotides. RefSeq lists it as uncharacterized. NCBI's taxonomy places the organism in Eukaryota, Metazoa, Chordata, Aves, Anseriformes, Anatidae. The record is from RefSeq and is a predicted model, not a curated record. The transcript is spliced from 4 exons.